RNAcentral lists this ribosomal RNA (292 nucleotides) under uncultured bacterium. RNAcentral's name for it is "partial 16S ribosomal RNA". It matches the Rfam family "Bacterial small subunit ribosomal RNA", at positions 505 to 796 of the family's 1533-position model. The record is from RNAcentral.
GUGCCAGCCGCCGCGGUAAUACAGAGGUCCCGAGCGUUGUUCGGAUUCACUGGGCGUAAAGGGUGCGUAGGCGGUGGGGUAAGUCUGAUGUGAAAGCUCGCAGCUCAACUGCGAAACGGCAUUGGAAACUACCUCGCUGGAGGCUUGGAGGGGGGACUGGAAUUCUCGGUGUAGCAGUGAAAUGCGUAGAUAUCGAGAGGAACACCAGUGGCGAAGGCGAGUCCCUGGACAAGACCUGACGCUGAGGCACGAAAGCCAGGGGAGCAAACAGGAUUAGAUACCCCAGUAGUCC